CCAGUCGUCUCUUUCAGAGACUUAUCAAAUGACCCAAAAAAUCCUAGCCGCCAUUGUUACCUUCGCCUGAAAACCCAGCGGCGACACCUCCAACCUCGAUUAAAACAGCAUCCCUGAACCACAUCGAUUCCCCCUCUCCAAAUCCACACUUAUCUUGCCUCGAAUCUUCCCAGGCCGUCUCGAAUCUUCAAUCGAAGAAUUGAGAAAAACCCUAGCCGCCUUUGAUUAACCCCAAACUUACACUAGUUAUCCACCAGGCCACCCUUGUCCCAAAACCCAUGGUAGUUUCAUUCGAAUCUAGCCAGAGUUAGUCGAAUCUUAAAUCGACUGAAGAGCCCUAGAAGCACCAAAACUGAACUUGUACGAGAUUAGGAAAAAUUGGGGUUUUAAUCGACUUUAGUUGAGUGUUCUCAGUCGAGAACACUCGACGAAAAUCCGUUUUGACCUCAAUAGUUCAAGUCGAAGUUCAAACUAACUGAGAGCUAUGUCUAAUUCCGAGGUAUUUUCGCUUCUUUGCUUUUAUUUUUUGUUUGUUUGUUUUUGUUGUUAUUAUUUAUCGGAUUAAGUUUCGGAUAAUUCAUCUUUUGUCAAUUAGUUCUUCUUCCUCUUGGGGACCUUUUACUUGGUCCAGUUUUCUUUUGUCAAUUAAUAACAUAUGUUAUAAAUAGUUUCGUCGAUUACUUCAUUCUUGUUUGUAGUCCAGUAGUUCUCGUCAAAUGGCUAUGUGCUGAUCCUUAGCCACUUAGCUUCAGGGCUCACUGUCUAGAUACUGUCAGUGAUACUACAUUUUGUAUAGGUUUAAUUCCCUACUCGUUCAUUUGUGUUUGAGCAAAUUACGAUUGGCUCCCCAAUAUGGUUAGUUUAUUCCCUAUAUCUAUGGGACCAAUCUAACUUUACUAGUCCAAUGCAUGUUAUUUUGAAUCAUUGGAUCUUAUUUGGAUACUAUUUGGUCCAAUCUGAAUAUAAGCCUGAAUUGAUGUUGAUGAAUUGGACCUUGAUGUGGUUCUGUAAUGAAUUUAGUUUUGAUAUGCUUGUUAGGAGUCAGUUCAUAUGGCUAAGUAAUCGAUUAAUAAGUUGAAUUUAUUAUAGCUGAUAGGUUGUGUACAUAUUGAGGGGAUGGGGUUAGGAUAGGAAUUCUAGGCAACUCAGUGGGUAAUUUGGGAAUUGAAAACUUGAAGAAUUGUUUAAUUUGAGUGUUAUGUUCACUAGGUACUACUGUACCAUUAAAAUAUGGUAUUUGUUUAACAAUUAGUGGGGAACAAAACAUAAUGGUAUGGGGGAUAAGUGAUGAAAAGAUAAAAGAUACACAUAAUAGAGGAAUAUUACAAGCUGGAAAGUGAAGAAAUAUGGGGAUAAUAAUAAGAGAUCUCUUUUACAACUACAAAGAGAAAAAGGGGGCUGGAAAGGGGUUUAAGGGUUUUGGGUAUAAAUAAGGAACAUUUAGGACAGAGUUAGGGGAACCUGGGAGAAUCAGUCUUGUCAGUUUUUUACUCAAUGAAGAGGAAUUUUUGAGGAAAAAAAAGAGUUCAAAGUUUGAAUACAAAAACAGAGUGUUGAGAGUUCGAGGAUCAGUUUUCUUGAAAGCUUUUAAAGCUGAACUCUUCCACACUUUGAAACUUUAAUAGUUUGAAAGAGUGCUCUAGACAAUCAGCUCACACUGUUAUAUUGAUUUUAAGAGCAGAAAUUGUUAAAAUCUCUUUGUUUCUGUUCUGUACUUGGGUGUUCAGGACACUUGAGGUAUUUGGUGAUUUAUUUGAGGGUUGCUGGGUAUUAUCUGAUUGCUGAAAGGUGUUCCAUGACGGUCUAGACUAAUUUCUUGUAGAUUCAAUAUUUUGGUUAAGCUUCUCUCUUCCUGGGCAUUUUGACUGUGGUUUGGUCUUGAACUUGGCUCUAUUUGUUGUUGUUGAUUGUCAACCUGUUGGUGUUACUGUUAUCUGCUAUAGCUGACCUCCUUUCUUUCUUACUCGUAUUUCAACUUCCAAGUACACAGCUGUAACUUUGGCAUUUGUAAGCUGAAAAAUAUGAAAUUUGAAUAUACGUGAAGAGUUAAAAUUCUGAUUUGAUUUCUAUAUGACUUGUGUAUUUAAAUUCUUCAGUCACUGAAGAUAGGUAGAUCUCUGCUAGUUUGUAGUAAGUGGACUGAAAUGGAGUUGUAUGAGAUAUUUUUUUAAUAGUUCACAUUGAAACAUGUUAGCAUCUGGUAACUGAUUCAUGUAGUUAAACAUGAGCUUGUGGGACUGUUGAAUUAAUCUGGACUGUGACUGUUAGAUUACUGGAUCUUUGGAUUAUGUUCGACUAGUUCUGAAUAUCAGUUUUUAUGCCAAUUGCUAAUUCAGGAAAGUACUACAUCAAUUGAAAGGAAUAGGAAAGUGUAAAAUGUAAAUAGUAUUGGAAUUUGGUUAAAGCAUUGACUGU
RNAcentral lists this long non-coding RNA (2415 nucleotides) under Nicotiana benthamiana. RNAcentral's name for it is "long non-coding RNA (NBEN_LNC010073)". Lineage: Eukaryota; Viridiplantae; Streptophyta; Magnoliopsida; Solanales; Solanaceae. The record is from RNAcentral.